Non-coding RNA from Microcebus murinus (gray mouse lemur), 530 nucleotides. The record is from RefSeq and is a predicted model, not a curated record. Lineage: Eukaryota; Metazoa; Chordata; Mammalia; Primates; Cheirogaleidae.
UUGGACUUGGCCAUGUGACUUACUUAGCCAAUGGAAUAGUAGCUGAGAUGACGCAAACAGGAACUUCAAAUGUGUGUGCCUGGUUUGACUUGGUCUCUCGAACAUUCCACAGUCAGCCAUGACAAGAGCGUGCCCCAGAUGAGGAUACUGAUGCGUAGAGAACUUAAGUAACUUGCCCAGAGUCACAUGGCAAGUAAGAGGCAGAGUUGGUACUGGAACCUAGGCAGCCUGGCUUCAGAGCCCUGGCCUUCCCCACCACCCUUGGAAGUUGAAGCCUGAGCUGGCGAAGCUGGAGAAGCAGCGUCCCCACCAUGGACUGGGAAAUGGCAUGGGUGGAGAGGUCACCCUGACGUCCUGCUGUGCCGUACUUAGAUAAUGUUUCAGUCUCACUAUCAUAGCUUCCUUGGCAGGUGUUGGCAAUGUGACAAGUCCAAUGUGACUGUGAGCAGAAGUGAGACGUGUGCCCCCGUCCUGUCUGAGAUUGAGUACCAGGACUACACACUGAGAUGGUGGUGUUACCAGAGAUGGAG